Molecule: ribosomal RNA, 253 nt
Filed under: uncultured bacterium
Lineage: Bacteria
Description: partial 16S ribosomal RNA
Rfam family: Bacterial small subunit ribosomal RNA
Source: RNAcentral
UACGGAGGGUGCAAGCAUUAAUCGGAAUUACUGGGCGUAAAGCGUGCGCAGGCGGUUUGUUAAGUCUGCUGUGAAAUCCCCGAGCUCAACUUGGGAAUUGCAGUGGAUACUGGCAAGCUGGAGUACGGUAGAGGAAGGUGGAAUUCCCGGUGUAGCAGUGAAAUGCGUAGAGAUCGGGAGGAACACCAGUGGCGAAGGCGGCCUUCUGGACCAGUACUGACGCUCAUGCACGAAAGCGUGGGGAGCAAACAGG